Molecule: long non-coding RNA, 475 nt
Organism: Zophobas morio
Lineage: Eukaryota; Metazoa; Arthropoda; Insecta; Coleoptera; Tenebrionidae
Exons: 2
Source: RefSeq, a predicted model, not a curated record
UAGUAACUUUUUCCUUUUUUGAAUAUAGUUUUGAGUUCCCGAAAAACAUGUGUGCUGUUUGCCGUUUAUCUGUAAACUCAUGCAGGACUUCUGCUCUUUUGCAAUAGAGCUUGGACUUUAAAUCAAUUGUUUUCUUCGCAUCCUCCGAAUUAAUUUUUUUUUAAUGAAAAAAAUUUUCAGUGCUUCGUUAACGUGUUUGCUCACCCUCUUGUCCUCUGCGGUCUAUUUUUAAUGCUCUGUUCCAGAACAAUGUAACAGGUUAUACAAGGUAAGCCACCCCGGGGCGGAGAGUUGACGUCGUAGCUCAGCGGUUAAGAGCAAGUAUAAACUCAAGGUUGUGAAUUCGUAGAGCUCCACCUACGUGAUCUCUUCUUCGGGAUUUGAUGGUAUUGUAUUUAAACUUCAUCAAUUCCUCCUCAAGAAUCAAUACUCCCUUCUUAACUGUAUUAAAUUGUUCAUAAAAAGCUUUUUAUAA